GGGCAGCAUCAGUAAACUGGAUACUGUGUUAAAAACAGUGCUCACAAGAUAGGGAAGCAACCUAAAUGUCCAUCAGUAGAGGAUUGGAUCAAGGAGAUGUGGUACAUACAUAUAAUGGAAUAUUACUCAGCCAUAAAAAGGCAUGAAAUAAUGCCUUUGCAACGACAUGGAUGUACCUAGAAAUUAUCAUACCAAGUAAGUCAGAAAAAUAUGAAUAUCGCAUGAGAUCACUAAUAUGUGGCAUCUAAUAAAAACGAUACAAUAGAACUUACAAAACAGAAACAGACUCAAAGAUUUUGAAACCACACUUAUAGUUACCAAAGGGGAAACAUUGGUGGUGGAGGGAAGGGUAAAUUAGGAGGUUGGGGUUGACGUACAUAUACUACUAUGUAAAACAGACAAGUAACAGAGAUGUACUGUAUAGCACAGGGAAAUCUACUCGAUACUCCAUGACAACCUAUAUGGGAAAGAAUCUGAAAAGGAGUGGAUGUAUGAGUAUGUAUAACUGAUUUACUUCACUGUAAACCUGAAAUUAACACACCUUUGUAAGUACACUAUAUUUCAGUUAAAAAAACAACAACGCUCACUUCUAAAUCUUCCAGAAACCAGCAAAGCCCAGCCCACUGAACUGGGCAAGAGGCUGAUGAGUUAGUACAACUCACAUGGACCAGCCUCCCUUCAUCUCUCAAGACCUCAUUAGUUAGAGAAGCUCUGCUGUGGUCUGAAUGUUUGUCUCUCCCUAAAAUUUAUACAUUGAAAUCCUGACUCCCAAGGUGAUGGAUGACAUUAGGAGGUGGGGACUUUGGGAGAUACUUAAGGGCUAAUUAAUUAACUAUGGGAUUCAUGCCUCAUAAAAGAGGCUCUAGAGAGAGCCCCCAUCUCUCCCACCACAUGAGGGCACAAGGAAAAGUCUGUGACCUGGAAGGGGACCCCCACCUAACCAGGCCGGUGCCCUGAUCUUGGACAUCUGGUCUCCAGAACGGUGAGAAAUAGAAUUUGGUGGUUUAGAGUACGGUUUGUGGUAUUUUGCGCUAUCAUCUUGAAUGGACUAAGACAAGCUGUCUUCCCCGGGCUGUGGACUGUUUGAGAUGCUUGAAUGAGAUAGACAAGUCCUUUUCCUCUCAGAGCUUCUGCUCUAAUGCGGGAGAGAGACAGGCAUAAGUGCACGGAGAAGAUACAUUCACAAAAUGACACGGUCCUUCCACAAGUGCCGAUGCCCUCUGUGCAGGUGGGAGACAUCAUAGGGAGACAUCAUAUAAGGAACAGAAAGGAGUCCGGGGACACUGGGUGGAUGGUAUCAUUUUCUGUGAUGGGAAGUCCAAUGAGAAAAGCAUAUUUGGAGGAGAAAAUAAUAAGCUUUGAAUAUGAUACGUUAAGAACGCCCUCCAGAAACUUCUGUGGAUCUGUGUAGUAGGGAGUCCCACGCAUUUACUGAAGCUGUGGAGAGGCUGGGCUGGAGAGGCAGUUUGGGGUGUCGCCCACAGGUAGAUGGUGUUCAGACCCAUGGGAAGGAAGGCACUGUGGGUGGAGGACAAGAGAAAUGAGGACUGAGUCUGGGGCACACCAACCUGUGUCAACAAGAGGGGGUUUCAGUGAGAAACUAAGAGGUGGCAGCCAGGGAAGUGGAAGGAAGCAAGGAGAGGAUUCUCUGAGCUCCCAGCUCUGCCCAGGUCGUAACUAGUCACCCCACCCCUGGGUGCUACCCCUCCUCUCUCUGUGUGCUUUAACUUCUGCCGGUAUUGGGUGCUUCUUCAGCCCAUGGUGCUACUUCUCUGGCUAUCUCCCAAAUUGGGGAAGAGACAAGAAGUGACCCUUGAUCUAAGUCACCCCUCCAGGAUAUAGGGUUUGCCGGGACAGAAGAGAAACCCAGGUUCACCCAGACAAAGGCAUCAACACAGUGGUGCAUGGCCCAGCCCACCUUGGGAGCACCGCCCUGAUCUUGUAUUGGUCUGGUAGCUGCGUAUGGGGACACCGCAGGCUGGAGGAUGGCUGUUUCCAUGACCACAGUCUUGUCAGGGAUUAUGAGAUCCAUCCAGCCAAGGCGACUCCUGGACCCUCUGGGGGAUUCAGAACUGGCCCAGGUAGAUCUGCCAUGGGAAGUCCUGCAUCCCGGGCUAUUCAUGAUUAUUGUUCUGCCUCCCACCUUCUGUCAACACCUCUGUUUUGUUUCCCUGAGGAAAUCCCGGAGGAGGAGGUCUGAAGUCUGUCUUAUUCUUGACUCUCUGCCAGCUUCAAACGCUAAAAAAUAUUCUCGACCACUCUUCCCUACACCACAGCCACAGUAACACCAGCUCCAAGCCACUUCUGUGACCUACACCACAGCUCACGGCAAUGCCAGAUCCUUAACCCCCCUGAAUGAGGCCAGGGAUCAAACCUGCAUCUUCAUGGAAACUAAUUCGAUUCAUUUCUGCUGAGCAACGACAGGAACUCCCUCUAAUUCUUCUUAAAUUUGCCUUUUCCUUAGCAGAGCUUCUUCCUAGACCUAAGCAAUACGCUGACCAUGGGUCUUAGUUUCAUUGGAAGUGCGAGUUUUCUCUUUCCAGGCAGUCUUCGCGGGUAUUUAAAUAAGAUGCUGGGAGCAGCUCAAAGAGGCUAGCCAGAAAUUAUUUUAAUCUCAAAAGCCCCAAUCCUACCAGAGCAUUUUAAUCUGAAAGAGACUUUCAAAGCCGAUUUUUGAAAUUUCUAUAAAAAGUGUUUUCCUAAAAAGCAAUUAAAAAUGUUGGGCCAAAUAUGAGAAGUAAAUUCUGUAGGGGACAGAAAAUGCUUGCAAAACUGAUACAUUUUUAUGACGAUUUCGGAUGCAUAAGUGAUUUAUAGUCCUUCCCAGAAUUAGGGUAAAAUAAUCGUGGAUUUUGCAUUUAAUUUUUCAAAGCCUGUCUUGGUCCCCCAUAGAUUGUCUAGUACCCCUCUGCUCCCAAAGUCCUUUAUCAUUCUUCUGCACUCCGUCUAUCAAACACCCGACCUUUUAAUUAAUUAUUAAUUAAUUUUUUUGAUUUUAGGGCCACACCUG
This 3010-nucleotide long non-coding RNA is filed under the name Sus scrofa (pig). RNAcentral's name for it is "lncRNA (ENSSSCG00025039767.1)". The record is from RNAcentral. Lineage: Eukaryota; Metazoa; Chordata; Mammalia; Artiodactyla; Suidae.